Molecule: ribosomal RNA, 253 nt
Filed under: uncultured bacterium
Lineage: Bacteria
Description: partial 16S ribosomal RNA
Rfam family: Bacterial small subunit ribosomal RNA
Source: RNAcentral
UACGAAGGGGGCUAGCGUUGCUCGGAAUCACUGGGCGCAAAGGGUGCGUAGGCGGGUCCUUAAGUCAGGGGUGAAAUCCUGGAGCUCAACUCCAGAACUGCCUUUGAUACUGAAGAUCUUGAGUUCGGGAGAGGUGAGUGGAACUGCGAGUGUAGAGGUGAAAUUCGUAGAUAUUCGCAAGAACACCAGUGGCGAAGGCGGCUCACUGGCCCGAUACUGACGCUGAGGCACGAAAGCGUGGGGAGCAAACAGG